GUGGGCUCUCAGGGGUCUGGAGAUGCAGCCACUGUCACCUCAGCGCGUGGGGCGGGGCAACUGAGCCGAGCCUGGGUCUCAGUUCCGUGAACUUAGUGAAGGUGCUGCAGGGAGCAGGGGGCUGGACAAGGCUCCGAGAAAAGUUUGGAUGUUAACAUUCGCUCCUACUCCAGCCUGCCUUUAAGCGCUCACAGGAAGGGGAGGGAUAAAUUGCUGUUGUCUGUUUAAAAGGAAUGAUGGCCAGGUAAAUGGCUGAGUGGGUGGAGGAGCUUGCUGUCCAGCCUGAGAGCUUGAGUGAUCCAGUGACUCCUGCGGGUUUUCCUCUUACUUCCACAUGUGUGCCGUGGCAUCUGUGUAGCCACACACCACAUUCAUAUACACGCAUACAUACAGGUGGAGGCAGGAGGAUCAGGGCAGUUUAGAAGUCCGCUUGGCCGUGGAGACGCUGAGAAACAGAUUUCCAGGGGUCGUGGCUGCCAGUCCUGGUUCUUGGGACUUUCUCUCAGUAAGUCUGGUGAAUCCAGCCAUGCUUUUGAAACUGAAGGAGACUGGGCAGGAUGACGUGGCUGUAGAUGGAGAU
Molecule: non-coding RNA, 580 nt
Organism: Mus caroli (Ryukyu mouse)
Lineage: Eukaryota; Metazoa; Chordata; Mammalia; Rodentia; Muridae
Source: RefSeq, a predicted model, not a curated record